This 466-nucleotide ribosomal RNA is filed under the name uncultured bacterium. Its description in RNAcentral is "partial 16S ribosomal RNA". It matches the Rfam family "Bacterial small subunit ribosomal RNA", at positions 28 to 505 of the family's 1533-position model. The record is from RNAcentral.
GACGAACGCUGGCGGCGUGCUUAACACAUGCAAGUCGAACGGAAAGGCCCUGCUUUUGUGGGGUGCUCGAGUGGCGAACGGGUGAGUAACACGUGAGUAACCUGCCCUUGACUUUGGGAUAACUUCAGGAAACUGGGGCUAAUACCGGAUAGGAGCUCCUGCUGCAUGGUGGGGGUUGGAAAGUUUCGGCGGUUGGGGAUGGACUCGCGGCUUAUCAGCUUGUUGGUGGGGUAGUGGCUUACCAAGGCUUUGACGGGUAGCCGGCCUGAGAGGGUGACCGGACAUAUGGGGAUUGAGACACCGCCGAGACUCCUACGGGAGGGCGCAGGGGGGAAUAUUGCAAAAGGGGGAGGCGUGUGACGCAGACACGGCGCGUGGGGGAUGAGGGUCUUGGGGUUGUACCCCGUUUUCGUGUGAGAAGAAGUGUGAGUGACGGUAAUGUGUAGAGACGCCCCGGAUAAACAUG